UAAUACAGAGGGUGCGAGCGUUUAUCGGAAUUACUGGGCGUAAAGGGUGCGUAGGUGGUUCGAUAAGUCAGAUGUGAAAUCCCUGGGCUUAACCUGGGAAUUGCAUUUGAUACUGUCAAACUAGAGUGUGGUAGAGGUAAGCGGAAUUCCCGGUGUAGCGGUGAAAUGCGUAGAUAUCGGGAGGAACAUCAGUGGCGAAGGCGGCUUACUGGACCAACACUGACACUGAGGCACGAAAGCGUGGGUAGCAAACAGGAUUAGAUACCCUGGUAGUCCACGCCCUAAACGAUGUCGACUAGCCGUUGGGCUCAUAAAAGAGCUUAGUGGCGCAGUUAACGCGAUAAGUCGACCGCCUGGGGAGUACGGCCGCAAGGCUA
This 377-nucleotide ribosomal RNA is filed under the name uncultured bacterium. RNAcentral's name for it is "bacterial SSU rRNA". It matches the Rfam family "Bacterial small subunit ribosomal RNA", at positions 521 to 896 of the family's 1533-position model. The record is from RNAcentral.